UGGGACUCCUACGGGAGGCAGCAGUGGGCCCCACUCCUACGGGAGGCAGCAGUGGGACUCCUACGGGAGGCAGCAGUGGGACUCCUACGGGAGGCAGCAGUGGGACUCCUACGGGAGGCAGCAGUGGGGCAGUUGGCUCAGAACGAACGCUGGCGGCUGGCUCAGAACGAACGCUGGCGGCCCCACUCCUACGGAGGCAGCAGUG
This 205-nucleotide unclassified non-coding RNA is filed under the name uncultured bacterium. RNAcentral's name for it is "partial contains 16S ribosomal RNA and 16S-23S ribosomal RNA intergenic spacer region". The record is from RNAcentral.